This 333-nucleotide unclassified non-coding RNA is filed under the name soil metagenome. RNAcentral describes it as "partial contains 5.8S ribosomal RNA, internal transcribed spacer 2, and large subunit ribosomal RNA". The stretch from base 1 to 120 matches the Rfam family "5.8S ribosomal RNA", at positions 35 to 154 of the family's 154-position model. The record is from RNAcentral.
GAUGAAGAACGUAGCGAAAUGCGAUAAGUAAUGUGAAUUGCAGAAUUCAGUGAAUCAUCGAAUCUUUGAACGCACAUUGCGCCCGCCAGUAUUCUGGCGGGCAUGCCUGUUCGAGCGUCAUUUCAACCAUCAAGCCCUGCUUGCGUUGGGGUCCUGCGGCUGCCCGCAGGCCCUGAAAACCAGUGGCGGGCUCGCUAGUCACACCGAGCGUAGUAACUCUACAUCGCUAUGGUCGUGCGGCGGGUUCUUGCCGUAAAACCCCCAAUUUUUUAAGGUUGACCUCGGAUCAGGUAGGAAUACCCGCUGAACUUAAGCAUAUCAAUAAGCGGAGGA